RNAcentral lists this ribosomal RNA (492 nucleotides) under uncultured bacterium. Its description in RNAcentral is "partial 16S ribosomal RNA". It matches the Rfam family "Bacterial small subunit ribosomal RNA", at positions 29 to 507 of the family's 1533-position model. The record is from RNAcentral.
AGUGAACGCUGGCGGUAGGCCUAACACAUGCAAGUCGAACGGCAGCACAGUAAGAGCUUGCUCUUCCGGGUGGCGAGUGGCGGACGGGUGAGGAAUACAUCGGAAUCUACUUUUUCGUGGGGGAUUACGCAGGCAAACUUACGCUAAUACCGCAUACGACCUACGGGUGAACGCAGGGGAUCUUCGGACCUUGCGCGAUUGAAUGAGCCGAUGUCGGAUUAGCUAGUUGGCGGGGUAAAGGCCCACCAAGGCGACGAUCCGUAGGUGGUGUGAGAGGAUGAUCAGCCACACUGGAACGGAGCCACGGCCCAGACUCGUACGGGAGGCAGCAGAGGGGAGUAGUGGACAAAGGGCGCAAGCCUGAUCCAGCCAUACCGCGUAGGUGAAGGAGGCCUUCGGGUUGGAAAGCUCUUUUGUUGGGAAAGAAAAGCAGCAGGUUAAUACUCCGCGGUUCUGACGGUACCCAAUGAAUAAGCACCGGCUAACUUCGUG